AUUGAACGCUGGCGGCAGGCCUAACACAUGCAAGUCGAGCGAGCGGCGGACGGGUGAGUAAUGUAUGGGGACUGCCCGAUAGAGGGGGAUAACUACUGGAAACGGUAGCUAAUACCGCAUACUAUCGGAUUACCCAGAUGGGAUUAGCUAGUAGGUGGGGUAAUGGCUCACCUAGGCGACGAUCCCUAGCUGGUCUGAGAGGAUGAUCAGCCACACUGGAACUGAGACACGGCCCAGACUCCUACGGAGGCAGCAGUGGGGAAUAUUGCACAAUGGGCGCAAGCCUGAUGCAGCCAUGCGGCGGGUAUGAAGAAGGCCUUAGGGUUGUAAAGUACUUUCAGCCGGGAGGCGUUACCUGCAGAAGAAGCACCGGCUAACUACGUGCCAGCAGCCGCGGUAAUAC
Molecule: ribosomal RNA, 403 nt
Filed under: uncultured bacterium
Lineage: Bacteria
Description: partial 16S ribosomal RNA
Rfam family: Bacterial small subunit ribosomal RNA
Source: RNAcentral